RNAcentral lists this ribosomal RNA (440 nucleotides) under uncultured bacterium. RNAcentral describes it as "partial 16S ribosomal RNA". It matches the Rfam family "Bacterial small subunit ribosomal RNA", at positions 338 to 795 of the family's 1533-position model. The record is from RNAcentral.
CCUACGGGGGGCAGCAGUGGGGAAUAUUGCACAAUGGGGGAAACACUGAUGCAGCGACGCCGCGUGAGGGAAGAAGGAUCUCGGUAUGUAAAACCCUUUUAGCAGGGAAGAAAAUGACGGUACCUGACUAAGAAGCCCCGGCUAACUACGUGCCAGCAGCCGCGGUAAUACGUAGGGAGCGAGCGUUAUCCGGAUUUACUGGGUGUAAAGGGAGCGUAGGCGGGAUCACAAGUCUGGUGUGAAAUCCCGGGGCUUAACCCCGGGACUGCCUUGGAAACUGGGGGGCUUGAGUGCAGGAGAGGUAAGCGGAAUGCCUAGUGUAGCGGUGAAAUGCGUAGAUAUUAGGAGGAACACCGGUGGCGAAGGCGGCUUACUGGACUGUAACUGACGCUGAGGCUCGAAAGCGUGGGGAGCAAACAGGAUUAGAUACCCUUGUAGUC